UUGCGUUCAGUUUCAUCAAAGAGUCAUCAGGCUUUCUACAAAGCUUCAGACUUUGAUUGCACCAGUAGUGACAUUUAUAGUUUUCUCAUCAACAGUAUACGACGGGAUUUUUGGAGGGUUGGCGGUUUCUCAGCCAUUCUCCGUUGAAACUUUCAAGUAUAUCGUUGCUAUUUUCGUCGCGCAGAUCCCAUUUUUUCUCUUAUUCAGGUGCCCGGCGCUAACGUCACAAGCGGCGACAGACAUUGGCACUCAGCUGUACUGGAAUCAUUCGUGGUCAACUUUAAGAGACAAACGCGUGUCCAUUCUAGAAUUAGUAAUGAUGAGGACCAACAAAACAAUCAAAUUCCGGAUUCUCAAAUUUUGGAUAUUGUCAUAUGAGAACUUUCUAAAGUAUCUACAAAAUCUUUACGCGGUAGUUGUCAUCAUCAGAUCCGUAACCUCCAGGGCUCACAAAGACACUACGGUACCAAUUUAAGGCAUAAAAAAUAAGGGUCCCAGAUAGACACUUUUGAUAUAAGGGAUAUAUCUCAACAAACGAUGGACUUGAAUUUCCUCUAUCAGCUUAAAGACUCUAUUAAUUCUAAUACAACUGCCGAAACAAGGCAAAACUUCCGAUAAAAGAACUGAGCCUCAGCUUAUCUGGAAUACUAACAUUUUUAGUUUGGGAGACAAAAAUUUCUAGUUCUCGGGACUGAACCUUCGUUCAGAAAAUGGAAUUUUUUCGUAAAGAUACAAGGUUACCUGAGCUAAAGUUUUCAUCCAAUGACUGAAAACUUUAGUUACCUGAACUGAAAACAUUCGUUUUCUUUACGAACCGAAGUUUUUUUUUUUUCUCCGUGAAUGCGAUACGCUCCUUUCAUACUUCCAAAUUCCUCUAGUUUUAUUGCUCUUAAAAACUUGAAUAUAAAUACAAAAUAACCCCCAACAGGGAUGAUUCCGGCACUAUCCGGGCACUAGCCGUGAGUUUGGUUUAGUUGGUCGGCUCGAUCUCGGUUCCCGAUCUCCUUAGCCAGCUUCUGAUCCAAGCAUUUUCUAAUUUAGAGCCUAAACCAACAUAUGAUAGUUUAACCAUCUAGACAAUCAUCUGGCCGAAACCCACCCCAUGUUGGGGUGGGUUUCGGUUUUUCUCCCGGUAGAACUACAAAAAAAAAAAAAAAAAAAAAAUACAAAAUAAAGAUUAGAACUUUCAAUCAGAGUUUUGUUUUGCCUUCAUAAUGCCACGAUUGAGUGAAUUAUUUGAACCGCUUUUAGCAGAACGGGACCAAGCCACAUCAGUUAUUGCCAAAUUUAAUUGGGCAAUUUAAUUUUUUUUUUUUUUUUUUUUUUUUACAAAGGAGCGUUUUUGCAGAUUCCUUUGAAACUCUUAAGGAAUUUGCUUCCUAUUAUGCAGAAAAGUCACUGAAAUUGAAUAAAAAAAUCCGCGUAACCAUUUUCAUUUAAAAAAUUUAAUUGCGCCUUUAAAUUUGGCAAUAUCUGAUGUGGCUUGGUUCCUUUCUGCUGAACGUGGUCCAUUUGAUCAACUGUAAACAUUCAAUUUAUUUUAACUUUAAAUACAAUCGCACAUUUUACUCAUCUCUCAACAACCCAAUAGUAUUUGGCCAGCUGUCCAAAGGUUUAGAGCUGAAUCUUAGAAAGGCAGGUUAUAACGACGCUCUUCUCACGUAAAGGCGUAUCUUGAUUUCUGCAUGAGCCCCAAAAAACAUGGAUUCAUGUGUGAAUCAGGGCUCACGCGAAAAUUGGAACAUUAUGGUGGCCCAAUUAUACACGACAAAAUUUAUCUUG
This 1782-nucleotide long non-coding RNA is filed under the name Bemisia tabaci. RNAcentral's name for it is "lncRNA ENSASIAIIG012533". The record is from RNAcentral. Lineage: Eukaryota; Metazoa; Arthropoda; Insecta; Hemiptera; Aleyrodidae.